AACGCACAUUGCGCCCGUUAGUACUCUAGCGGGCAUGCCUGUUCGAGCGUCAUUACAACCCUCAAGCACUGCUUGGUGUUGGGGACCUAUAUCAAUAUUAGGCCCUGAAAAUUAGUGGCGGGCUCGCUAAUAUCCCGAGCGUAGUAGAAAUCCUCGCUUAGGGCAUUAUAGCGGGUUCUUGCCGUUUAAAACCCUUCAAUUUUAAAAGGUUGACCUCGGAUCAGGUAGGAAUACCCGCUGAACUUAA
This 247-nucleotide unclassified non-coding RNA is filed under the name uncultured fungus. RNAcentral describes it as "sequence contains ITS2". The record is from RNAcentral. Lineage: Eukaryota; Fungi.